UAGGCAAGAGGUGUAAGUGUAGUAAUACAUUAAGCUAACUUGUACUAAUAGGUCGAGGACUUAACCUAA
RNAcentral lists this ribosomal RNA (69 nucleotides) under Criibacterium bergeronii. RNAcentral's name for it is "partial 23S ribosomal RNA". The record is from RNAcentral. Lineage: Bacteria; Bacillati; Bacillota; Clostridia; Peptostreptococcales; Filifactoraceae.